Long non-coding RNA from Orcinus orca (killer whale), 1292 nucleotides. RefSeq lists it as uncharacterized. Lineage: Eukaryota; Metazoa; Chordata; Mammalia; Artiodactyla; Delphinidae. The record is from RefSeq and is a predicted model, not a curated record. The transcript has 2 exons.
GGCGGCUCCCUGUGCUUGACCGGACGCCGGGCCGGCCAGUCCCGCAGCGCGCGUCUGUCCGCGCCUCCCCCACGCGCCCCACCCCACCCACCCCCCACCGCCCCGGAGCCGCGGACUACGGGUCCCGACGACCGGCGCACCGUCGGCGUGGCGGUGGUUCGGCGGUCCGCCGGCGCGCGGCAUGUCGGAACUGGAUAUGGCUUUUAUUAGCUUUGGGAUUUUACUCCUCACCCACUCUUGUCCUAUAUUUUAUUCUCUAAAGAGCAUCCAGAAAAAGUUGGAUGGUAAAAUCUUCAUUAUGUGUUUUACAGCUGUAUUUAUAAUUGUUGAUCAUUUGUAAGACUAUAAGUGGAGCUAAUUCAACCAAAAGAUAUAUAAAUAUUUUUCUCCUUAUUUUUGUUCGUUCUUUUCACUUUUUAAAAGACAUGACAAUUGGAUGGUUUCAGGUUUUUGUUGUAUAUAUGAAACCUCUUACAUGUAAAUAGCAUAGUAGGGGAAGGAGAAAAGACUUUAUUUUUGUUUUUUAUUUUUAUUGAAGUAUAGUUGAUUUCCAGUGUUGUAUCAGUUUCAGGUGUACAGCAAAGUGAAUAAGUUAUACAUAUACAUAUAUCCACUCUAUUUUAGAUUCUUUUCCCAUAUAGGCCAUCACAGAGUAUUGAGUAAAGUUCCUUGUACUAUACAGUAGGUCCCUAUUAGUUAUCUGUUCUAUACACAGUAGUGUGUAAAUGUCAAUCCCAAUAUCCCAAUUUAUCCCUCCCCCUCCCUUCCCCCCCCCCGCCCCGUAACCAUAAGCUUGUUUUCUACAUCUGUGACUCUGUUUCUGUUUUACAGAUAAGUCCAUUUGUACCAUUUUAUAGAUUCCACAUGUAAGAGAUAUAUGAUACUUGUCUUUCUCUGUCUGACUUUCUUUACUCAUGAUGACAAUCUCUGGGUCCAUCCAUGUUGCCACAAAUGGCAUUAUUUCGUUCUUUGUUAUGGCUGAGUAAUAUUCCGUUGUAUAUAUAAACCACAUCUUCUUUAUCCAUUCUUCUGUCAAGGACAUUUAGGUUGCUCCCAUGUCCUGGCUAUUGUAAAUAGCACUGCAGUGAACAUUGGGGUGCAUGUAUCUUUUUGAAUCAUGGUUAUCUCUAGAUACAUGCCCGGGAGUGGGAUUGCUAGCUCACAUGGUAGCUCUGUUUUUAGUUUUUUAAGGAACCUUCAUACUGUUCUCCAUAAUUGCUAUACCAAUUUACAUUCCCACCAACAGUGUGGGAGGGUUCCCUUUUCUCCAUACCUUCUCCAGCCUUUAUCGU